RNAcentral lists this long non-coding RNA (1238 nucleotides) under Callithrix jacchus (white-tufted-ear marmoset). Its description in RNAcentral is "lncRNA (ENSCJAG00000083441.1)". Lineage: Eukaryota; Metazoa; Chordata; Mammalia; Primates; Cebidae. The record is from RNAcentral.
AUGGUGGAUAAACUUUUUGAUGUGCUGCUGGAUUCAGUUUGCCAGUAUUUUGUUAAGGUUGAGGUUUUUGCAUUAACGUCCUUCAAAGAUACCAGCCUGAAGUUUUCUUCUCUUGUUCUGUCUUUGCCAGGUAUUGGUAGGAGGAUGCUGGCUCCCAAGACUGUGUCAGGGAGCAGUCCCUUCUCCUCAAGUUUUGUGAAUAAUUUCAGCAAGAAGGUCCCAGACUGGCUAGUUACCACCUGGAAGUUUCUGCUGCAUCUGCCUUCUCAGUGCUCAAGUAAAGACUUUUGCAUUUUCUUCCUCGCAUUCCUGAAGAUGGGGUUCAGGUUGCCCAAACACAUCUGGGUGAUCCACACAGGGCAGUGACCGCCUGUGCCAGCCCUAUGAGGUAGCUGGAGAAUGUUCCUUAUUUCUCAAGCUCUGGGCAGAUGCCAGGGCUGGGGUGACCCAUGCCCUGAAGUUUCUUGCUUUGGAGGGUGGGUCACAUUUUCUGUUGGCAAGAAAGGCAAAGGUCACAGGAAGGCAGCGACCCGGGACCUCUCUGUGCCAUGGGCCCAAACAAAAAAGACCUGAACACUCUAUGCUAAAAGCUCAGGUGCUCCCUAGGGCUUCAUGGCCUCUGCUGAGGGAAGAUGAAUACUACGUUCUCCCAGAGCUUUAGGAGCUGGUAGCAAGCAGCCUCCCCAACACAAAAUCUUUUGGAAACCUCAAACUGUGUCUAAAACAUUUGUGCACAUUUUGCAUCCUAUUUCCCAUAUGGAAGCAUGUUUUAGAAACAACCCUCAAUUUCCUAAAUAUGCAAGAGAAAUGGGUAUUGUAGGACAAUGUGGCUUUUUUUUUUUUUUCUUGAGACGGAGUUUCGCUCUUGUUACCCAGGCUGGAGUGCAAUGGCAUGAUCUCGGCUCACCGCAACCUCUGCCUCCUGGGUUCAGGCAGUUCUCCUGCCUCAGCCUCCUGAGUAGCUGGGACUACAGGCACGCGCCACCAUGCCCAGCUAAUUUUUUGUAUUUCUAGUAGAGACGGGGUUUCAUCAUGUUGACCAGAAUGGUCUCGAUCUCUUGACUUCGUGAUCCACCCACCUUGGCCUCCCAAAGUGCUGGGAUUACAGGCUUGAGCCACUGCGCAUGGCCCAACAAUGGGGCUUUUAAAAACAUGUUGUUGUUUAGGCCGGGGAUGGUGGCUUACACCUGUAAUCCCAGCACUUUGGGAGGGUGAGGUGGGCAGGUCACCUGAGGUUG